RNAcentral lists this ribosomal RNA (1186 nucleotides) under Triticum aestivum (bread wheat). RNAcentral describes it as "partial small subunit ribosomal RNA". Lineage: Eukaryota; Viridiplantae; Streptophyta; Magnoliopsida; Poales; Poaceae. The record is from RNAcentral.
CUUCCGCUCUGCUCCCUUCUAUUGAGCCGCUGGCGCGCGUCCCCUCUUCAUCCAUGGGCUCUCUCUUUCUCUCCCUGCGCGCUGCUCUUCCACUCUCCUGCCCGGUGGUACUCCGCGAGGAGGUUCUUCAGCAGCAGUAGCAGGCGGCGCCGGCCACUCCUUGUUCAUUUACUUUUUGUUUUGUCUUUUUCUUUUCCUCAGUCAUGUUUGGACUGGUCGUCCUUUCGUGUUGCACAAGGGUGAUUUCGCCAAAGUUUCCUUUAUCUCGCCUAACUGGUUGAAAAGAUAUGUAUACGACUACCGAGUAGGUCGUACUAACUGGGUCUUCCGUAGCUUUGUGAGACGAGAGUAGAACUUCAAGGUGUAUGUCUACAAGCCUAAGACUACAAUCGUACCUUUUACCCGACACUUUUCGUUCCAAUAAAAUGAGACCUACUUACCUCUUGACCCUACUUUCGAGACGCUCGACUAUCGUAGUCAUUUGACUUCUUUCGGAAAGGACUUGACCAGGUUCUUCAAUGCUCCAGGAGAUUAAAGGUCCUAAAGAUAGGUAUACGCAAGGCAAUAACGGAUUGUCUCCUGUUCUUCUUCACAUAUCUUUAUGGACAACGAACACUCAAUAACUUAGAUCACAACUCGAACGUCAAGGCGGGCGUCCAACUUUUUGAAUAAUUAAUGGAAUUCGUAGUUUUACUCAUGUUCCAAUAUUUGUACCUAGUUACCUACCCUAAAGAAGCCAAGACGUUACUCUAUUUGAAGGGUAGUGAACUGUUAAUACUACGUCUGGUUCGAACCGGAAAUUAAAAUCUGUUAAAACAACUUACCAAUUCUCGUUCACUUUUAAUCGAGACAACAUGACUCACCACCACUUCUACGUUAGGUUUACAUUAUGAGUCUUUAGUGGAACCUCUUAAAACCUCCUACGUCUAGUUCGAGCAAACACUGACGAGACAAGUCUCAGACCAAAAUCUUUAAUAGUUAGCGGAACAUCAAACGGAAAACGAAAGAAAUAUGAACUAAAUUUAUGAAACGUCCCAGUAGUAGAUCUUAAAAUGUAACAGUAAGAGAUAUAAACAUAAUAAGUUACCGAAGCAUCCACACAUCAAAACUCUCGUACGUUUAAAAGACCUUCAGAACUUUCUUGUACAACCGUAUACAACAAGGAGAGAACGGGACAACCGGGUAG